Molecule: ribosomal RNA, 597 nt
Filed under: Neriene sp. 2 LT-2015
Lineage: Eukaryota; Metazoa; Arthropoda; Arachnida; Araneae; Linyphiidae
Description: SSU rRNA
Rfam family: Eukaryotic small subunit ribosomal RNA
Source: RNAcentral
ACAAGGUGUGGAGCCUGCGGCUUAAUUUGACUCAACACGGGUAAACUCACCCGGCCCGGACACAGGAAGGAUUGACAGAUUGAGAGCUCUUUCUUGAUUCUGUGGGUGGUGGUGCAUGGCCGCUCUUAGUUGGUGGAGCGAUUUGUCUGGUUAAUUCCGUUAACGAACGAGACUCUAGCCUACUAAAUAGACGUUCCGAUCCUCCGAGUCGGACGUUCUUCUUAGAGGGACGGGCGGCGAUUAGCCGCACGAAACAGAGCAAUAGCAGGUCUGUGAUGCCCUUUGAUGUCCGGGGCCGCACGCGCGCUACAUUGAAGGAACCAGCGUGUGCUUUCCCUGUCCGACAGGACUGGGUAACCCGUUGAACCUCCUUCGUGCUGGGGAUAGCAAAUUGUAAUUAUUUUGCUUGAACGAGGAACACCCAGUAAGCACGAGUCAUCAGCUCGUGUUGACUAUGUCCCUGGCCUUUGUUCACACCGCCCGUCGCUACUACCGAUUGAAUGAUUUAGUGAGGUCUUCRGACUGGMRCUCGGAUUGGCUUUCGGGUCGAGCCGACGUGCCGGAAAGAUGACCAAACUUGAUCAUUUAGAGGAAGUA